ACAAACCAGGCUCAGUUCUGGGAGUGGAUAAAGGAGCCAUUUUCUUGCUUUUCCUUAGGCCCCUACCUCAGCCACUUUGAGAAAACGUCCUGAAUAAAACUCAGGCACAGACCAUAUUUUAAAAAGUGGUUCCCUAGUCCUUGAACCCCAUCUGAUGCUCCAAGUGUGACAAUCCAGGACUGCUGGCAAGGCAGGAGGAGGGAUGGAGCUUUGUUGGACACAUCAGAAUGCAGGGCUAAGCAUUCCCAGUGUCUUCAGUGAUCCUCAGCAGCAUGGACUCAAGGCCCUCCACCAUUCAUCAUGAGAGCUUUUUACAGAUGAAGAAAAUGAGGCAAACAGGAUUGAGUGACUUGACUAAGACCACACAACUAGUUAGUGUCUGAGGUCAGAGUUGAACUCAGAAAAAUGAGUCUUCCUGACUCUAAGCCUGGUGCUCUAUCCACUGUGCCAUCUAAUUGCCCUUAGCAACUUUUGCCUUAGCAAUUUGUAAGAUUGAAAACUGCUACAAAUCUUUUAGAAAAACAUCCUAGUAGUAUUCCGGAAAAGUCCUAUCCUUUGGUCCAAUAAUUCCAUUGUUGGGGAUAGACAUUGGGAAGAUGACCAAAAAGCAAAACAGAUUUCUCAUCAAGGAUUUUUAAGGGUGUGCUUUUUCCACUUAAAGAAAAAGAACCAACAAAGAGAGGAAGCCAAUGAUCAAUCUGUUUCUUGAGAGCAGAAACUCUCUAGGAGUAUGGUCAGUGCCCGGUGCAUGGUGGGUGCCUAAACUACUUAUUGAUUGACUAGCUAAAUAAAUCAUGAUCCAUUAAUGGGACCA
Molecule: long non-coding RNA, 814 nt
Filed under: Monodelphis domestica (gray short-tailed opossum)
Lineage: Eukaryota; Metazoa; Chordata; Mammalia; Didelphimorphia; Didelphidae
Description: lncRNA (ENSMODG00000043448.1)
Source: RNAcentral